AGUUUUGUAGCUUCUCACACAGCACCUCAGGUGCAGGAUUUCACUGUGUUCCCAGUGUAAACACCAAUUCAGAUGACCAACUCCUUAUUCUGGAAAGUUAAGGCAGAAACAUAAAGUAAAUGUAAGAACACCCCCAGAAGUCCCCAGAACCCCCAGAAGCUGUUUGGUGCAUCUUCGGCAUUCGCUAGAUGUGGGCCACCUUUCAUUUGAUCUUCGUGAAAACGCAAAAUGAAAGUCCAAACCAAGGAAUACAUUUUUCUCAAUCGCGGUUAUGGUUAUUAGCGCUCACUGAUUCUUUACACUCGUAUACAAAACAAGUAUACUCAAUU
This is a long non-coding RNA of Maniola jurtina (meadow brown), 329 nucleotides long. RefSeq lists it as uncharacterized. NCBI's taxonomy places the organism in Eukaryota, Metazoa, Arthropoda, Insecta, Lepidoptera, Nymphalidae. The transcript has 2 exons. The record is from RefSeq and is a predicted model, not a curated record.